GGCUUCUGGCUUAGAGGUAGAGUGUUUGCCUAGCAUGUAUGGGGCACUGGGUUCAAUCCUCAGCACCA
Molecule: transfer RNA, 68 nt
Filed under: Marmota monax (woodchuck)
Lineage: Eukaryota; Metazoa; Chordata; Mammalia; Rodentia; Sciuridae
Description: tRNA.Ala
Source: RNAcentral